RNAcentral lists this ribosomal RNA (253 nucleotides) under uncultured bacterium. RNAcentral's name for it is "partial 16S ribosomal RNA". It matches the Rfam family "Bacterial small subunit ribosomal RNA", at positions 524 to 776 of the family's 1533-position model. The record is from RNAcentral.
UACGUAGGGUGCAAGCGUUGCCCGGAAUUAUUGGGCGUAAAGAGCUCGUAGGCGGUCUGUCGCGUCUGCUGUGAAAACUCAGGGCUUAACCCUGAGCUUGCAGUGGGUACGGGCAGACUAGAGUGCGGUAGGGGAGACUGGAAUUCCUGGUGUAGCGGUGAAAUGCGCAGGUAUCAGGAGGAACACCGGUGGCGAAGGCGGGUCUCUGGGCCGUAACUGACGCUGAGGAGCGAAAGCAUGGGGAGCGAACAGG